RNAcentral lists this ribosomal RNA (468 nucleotides) under uncultured bacterium. Its description in RNAcentral is "partial 16S ribosomal RNA". It matches the Rfam family "Bacterial small subunit ribosomal RNA", at positions 28 to 507 of the family's 1533-position model. The record is from RNAcentral.
GACGAACGCUGGCGGCGUGCUUAAUACAUGCAAGUCGAACGGAAAGGCCCUGCUUUUGUGGGGUGCUCGAGUGGCGAACGGGUGAGUAACACGUGAGUAACCUGCCCUUGACUUUGGGAUAACUUCAGGAAACUGGGGCUAAUCCCGGAUAGGAGCUCCUGCUGCUUGGUGGGGGUUGGAAAGUUUCGGCGGUUGGGGAUGGACUCGCGGCCUAUCAGCUUGUUGGUGGGGUAGUGGCUUACCAAGGCUUUGACGGGUAGCCGGCCUGAGAGGGUGACCGGCCACAUUGGGACUGAGAUACGGCACAGACUCCUAUGGGAGGCAGCAGUGGGGAAUAGUGCACAAUGGGCGGAAGCCUGAUGCAGCAACGCCGCGUGCGGGAUGACGGCCUUCGGGUUGUAAACCGCUUUCGCCUGUGACGAAGCGUGAGUGACGGUAAUGGGUAAAGAAGCACCGGCUAACUACGUG